Molecule: long non-coding RNA, 348 nt
Organism: Sinocyclocheilus anshuiensis
Lineage: Eukaryota; Metazoa; Chordata; Actinopteri; Cypriniformes; Cyprinidae
Exons: 3
Source: RefSeq, a predicted model, not a curated record
GCAGAUAUUCUAAAGCACAAAAUUGUUGUCUUGUAAAUACAGAAAAACACUGUAUUGUCUCAUGUUAAGGAGGUUGAUGUGGGGUCACUGUAUGACAACAUUGAGGUGGACCAUGAAUCUGGAGAUCUAUGAUUGGGCUGCCACCCAAAUGAUCCACCUGGUUCUGAGGUUAUCAGGAUUGAGAACAUGCUAUCGGAAAAGCCCCAGGUGACUCAGGUAUAUGCAGAUGAUGGCAGUGUGAUCAUUGCUUCCUCAGUGGCAACCCCAUAUGUAGGAAAGCUGCUCAUUGGAACAGUAUAUCAGAAAGCUCUGAUAUGUGACCAUAAUUUGUGAAUAUACUCACUUACG